RNAcentral lists this transfer RNA (61 nucleotides) under Myrmedobia distinguenda. RNAcentral describes it as "tRNA-Thr". The record is from RNAcentral. Lineage: Eukaryota; Metazoa; Arthropoda; Insecta; Hemiptera; Microphysidae.
GUUUUAAUAGUUUAUAAAAAAUAAUGAUUUUGUAAAUCAUAGAAAGAAUUACUUUAAAACU